AGUGAACGCUGGCGGUAGGCCUAACACAUGCAAGUCGAACGGCAGCACAGGAGAGCUUGCUCUCUGGGUGGCGAGUGGCGGACGGGUGAGGAAUACAUCGGAAUCUACUCUGUCGUGGGGGAUAACGUAGGGAAACUUACGCUAAUACCGCAUACGACCUACGGGUGAAAGCAGGGGAUCUUCGGACCUUGCGCGAUUGAAUGAGCCGAUGUCGGAUUAGCUAGUUGGCGGGGUAAAGGCCCACCAAGGCGACGAUCCUUAGGUGGUCUGAGAGGAUGAUCAGCCACACUGGAACUGAGACACGGUCCAGACUCCUACGGGAGGCAGCAGUGGGGAAUAUUGGACAAUGGGCGCAAGCCUGAUCCAGCCAUACCGCGUGGGUGAAGAAGGCCUUCGGGUUGUAAAGCCCUUUUGUUGGGAAAGAAAUCCAGCUGGCUAAUACCCGGUUGGGAUGACGGUACCCAAAGAAUAAGCACCGGCUAACUUCGUGCCAGCCGCCGCCGUAA
This 506-nucleotide ribosomal RNA is filed under the name uncultured bacterium. RNAcentral describes it as "partial 16S ribosomal RNA". It matches the Rfam family "Bacterial small subunit ribosomal RNA", at positions 29 to 523 of the family's 1533-position model. The record is from RNAcentral.